Molecule: long non-coding RNA, 2727 nt
Organism: Venturia canescens
Lineage: Eukaryota; Metazoa; Arthropoda; Insecta; Hymenoptera; Ichneumonidae
Exons: 2
Source: RefSeq, a predicted model, not a curated record
UUAAGAGCACAAAUUUUGAAUGAGUAGCGCGAAAAUUGUGUCACGCCGCGUUAACCCCGCUCGUACUAUCUUUUUCACGAAAAUGUAUUUCGCAGUCGUUGCCUACAUUUACACCGAUGCAUAUUAAAUAUUGGAUUAACGCGCAUGUAUAAUUCUCGUACGAGCAACGCGACGAAGACAGAGACCGCGUUCUACGACCAAUUCUGCGUUUUACGCGGUAAACUGCUCGAUAAUCGAUUAGAAUCGCGUGUAAAUAAUGAACAUACGGUGAACUUGAACGAGUUCAACGACGAAGAGGGAACGGAACUCAAAGCGGAGCUCGUUUCUUCUAUCGCUGCUUUUUAUAUAUCGCCAAAGACUUUGACGAUACAAACAUUUCUGAGAAAGUAUACAUAAACGGAACGUAUAUAUAUAAGAGGAAACAAUCAUUUCUAAGAAGCACGCAGAAUGAAUGAGGUACAGUCAACGUCAAGAUACGAGUCAAAGGGCUAAUACCGUUCAAGUUUAGCCCAAGAACGGCGCUCUGUCAAAUAAUCACAAGACCCGAAUAUUCGACACGAAUUUUCUUUAUAUAUAUCAGUGGUGCAUACCGACUCGCAUCCAUUGAAGGAAAAAUAUUUGAGAUCCGUUUUAAUCGAGUAUCAGCAAAAGUCUGUGUGACAAAUUGUUAUAAAAUGUUCGUAAAUGCGUAUAAUGGUAGAGAUAAAUAAGACGUUAUAUUUGCUUUGUCAAGUGGGUCGCUGAAUUCGCAAACGAUGUCUGAUUUUCGAGGACGUACGAGAUCUCGACUACGUUCCUAGCUGUAUUAUCAUGAAGCCAAAAAAUUUUUUUAUCAGGCAAUAAGAUUGGUGUAUAAUUAUCGGUCAACAUUGGUGAAAUUUUGAAAUCUCGUUUCUAUGACUAAUCAUGAUUCAUUUAUGUCGGAGAAAAACAGCUGAAUAUGACUUUUAUGAUAAAACCACUACACCCAGCGAUUGUUGCGUACAUAUAAAUUGCUCUAGUAUUAUUUUUCCUUCUGGAAGUCUUUACUGGAAGAUAAAGAAAAAAAAUAUAUCAAACUAUACGAAUUGAUGCUUACUUCAAAUUUCCUCGAUUCGGAUUCAUAUACCAUAUUAGAGAAAUAAAAAUACUCGAAUAUGUUCGAAAUUCAUAACGAUUCCUCAUGCUUGUAAAGAACAAAACCAAAUCGAAUUUACAAAAUCUAAAAAAAAUCAUUUAAUCGAGGUUUCUCGUUUUUCAUGUUUCACGUAUGAAUAAAAGAAAAAUAAUAAUACGAAAUCUACUGUCGAUGCAAAGACAAUUUUAUAACUUGACAGAACAAUAAUUUUAUGUUGAAGAUAAUUCGAAUAAAAAUGUUUGUCAGUGUGUAUAAUCCCUUACGUUCGUAAGAACCACACGUGGUGGUUGAGUUAAGUGCGAUAGGUCGUGAGAGCGUCGUUAGCCGCGUUACAACCCGUCCGGAUCGGAACUAAUCGCGACUGGAUUCACGAGCCUUCGGGGGCAGAGUAGGAAAUUAUUGAUCUCGUUCCAACGUUGCCGCAAACCGUCUUGCGCCUCCCCCCCCUCUCAAUCUCUUGCGGCUCCAUCUUCGUCGAUUCACUGUCGCGCUCGACAUAUGAGUUUUCUGUCCGGGAAUCUGCUACGCGUGACGUUUGACAGAGGUCAGGCAGUUUUAGGCGGUUUGAAUAUCCCGAGUGCGUUUGCUCCAGUGCCGCAAUGAAAAGGAGGCUUCGCAAGGAAAAAAAAAAGAAUACAAUUAGUUGAUGUUUGCGCUAAUUCCUGUUUCUUUGUAAUACAACCAGCGAUAAAAUUGCAACUUUUUUCUCCAGUUCAAAUGCGCACUGAUAAAGAUUUCUUUUACCGUUACGUCACUGAAUUGAUGAUUAUUCUGGGCUUUGAAUCGUCUCUCUCUGGAACCCAUUCCACCGUCGACAUUUGAUUUAAAAAUUUCCAAACAUUCCGGCUCGGUCGAGCGUCCGCGGUUUCAACUAUAUAUAACGGAGCUCGUCAUUCAUAGCGACAAAAUGAAACGCGGCGAUAAGACCAGUCCCAAAGACUUGAGAGUCCCUUUCAUACACUUUUCCAAUCCGAUAAAGUUUUUUUUUCUUUCAUAAAAAAAAAAAUUGAAAUCUUCAUAGAGCUCAUCUUGGUCGUAGGCGUCGACGUAAUAAACUUGGUUUUUUUCUUUUCGAGUUGCAAUAGAUUUAUUGACAAAAUAUAUUAAUCUUAAAACACUCUGAUGAACCAAGUACAAGAAAAGAAUUUGCGAUGUUUUUCAAACGUAAAAUGAAGUAAUGACGAUUUUGUAAAAAGAUUGUACGUCUUUAAAAUUCCCACGAAUCGAGCCAGCGCAAGAAAUGCAUCGGGCUCUCCGGGUCCACCGAUGCGGGACCGUCCAUUCCAUAGGACAGCGGGGCGAACAGAUAGAAACUAAAAUGACAUUGUUGUAAUUAUUCUAGUACUUAAUCGUUCUGUAUAUUUGGAAAAAAAAAUAUAAAAAAAAACACUAGCUUUUAUAUUAUUAUAUUUUCACCGACAAACAAUUGUAAUAACUUUCGAUUUGUUUUCUGUCUCAAAUGAAUUUUCCAAAGUGAUUAUACAUCUGCUGGUUUCUAAAAAAAAUUGUGAAUUCAACAAAAACUAAGUCGGAUCAUAAACAAAGGUCAAACUUACCUGUAAAAAGUGAUGGAAAUGACGCCGCUCAAUAAAACAUGAUGUAGCACGUUA